GCCUACGGGGGGCAGCAGUAGGGAAUCUUCCACAAUGGGCGAAAGCCUGAUGGAGCAACGCCGCGUGGGUGAAGAAGGUCUUCGGAUCGUAAAACCCUGUUGUUAGAGAAGAAAGUGCGUGAGAGUAACUGUUCACGUUUCGACGGUAUCUAACCAGAAAGCCACGGCUAACUACGUGCCAGCAGCCGCGGUAAUACGUAGGUGGCAAGCGUUAUCCGGAUCUAUUGGGCGUAAAGGGAACGCAGGCGGUCUUUUAAGUCUGAUGUGAAAGCCUUCGGCUUAACCGGAGUAGUGCAUUGGAAACU
Molecule: ribosomal RNA, 305 nt
Filed under: uncultured bacterium
Lineage: Bacteria
Description: bacterial SSU rRNA
Rfam family: Bacterial small subunit ribosomal RNA
Source: RNAcentral